Molecule: ribosomal RNA, 512 nt
Filed under: uncultured bacterium
Lineage: Bacteria
Description: bacterial SSU rRNA
Rfam family: Bacterial small subunit ribosomal RNA
Source: RNAcentral
AGAGUUGAUCCUGGCUCAGGACGAACGCUGGCGGCGUGCCUAACACAUGCAAGUCGAACGGGACCGGGGGCAACUUCGGUUCAGUGGCGGACGGGUGCGUAACACGUGAGGAACAUGACCUUCGGCGGGGGAUAGCCGGCCCAACGGCCGGGUAAUACCGCGUACGACCAUUUGGGGACAUCCCUGAGUGGUGAAAGCAGCAAUGCGCCGAUGGAGUGCCUCGCGGCCUAUCAGCUAGUUGGUGGGGUAACGGCUCACCAAGGCAACGACGGGUAGCUGGUCUGAGAGGAUGGCCAGCCACAUUGGGACUGAGACACGGCCCAGACUCCUACGGGAGGCAGCAGUGGGGAAUAUUGCGCAAUGGACGAAAGUCUGACGCAGCGACGCCGCGUGUGGGAUGACGGUCUUCGGAUUGUAAACCACUGUCGGGAGGGACGAAUACGCCGCAAGGCGGGUGACGGUACCUCCAAAGGAAGCACCGGCUAACUCCGUGCCAGCAGCCGCGGUAAUUC